This 513-nucleotide ribosomal RNA is filed under the name uncultured bacterium. RNAcentral's name for it is "bacterial SSU rRNA". It matches the Rfam family "Bacterial small subunit ribosomal RNA", at positions 1 to 528 of the family's 1533-position model. The record is from RNAcentral.
UGGAGAGUUUGAUCCUGGCUCAGGAUGAACGCUAGCGGCAGGCUUAAUACAUGCAAGUCGAGCGGGGGGCAACCCCAGCGGCGGACGGGUGCGCAACACGUAAGCAAUCUGCCCCGGAGUGGGGGAUAGCGCCGGGAAACUGGCGGUAAUCCCGCAUGACGCAGCGGCCCCGCAUGGGGACAGUUGUUAAAGGCUUCGGCCGCUUCGGGAGGAGCUUGCGUCCGAUUAGCUUGUUGGCGGGGUAACGGCCCACCAAGGCGACGAUCGGUAGCUGGUCUGAGAGGAUGAUCAGCCACACCGGCACUGAGACACGGGCCGGACUCCUACGGGAGGCAGCAGUAGGGAAUAUUGGGCAAUGGGCGAAAGCCUGACCCAGCCAUGCCGCGUGCGGGACGAAGGCGCAUAGCGUCGUAAACCGCUUUGGCGGGGGACGUAAAGCCGCAGUCGCUGCGGCCUGAGGUACCCCGAGAACAAGCGCCGGCCAACUACGUGCCAGCAGCCGCGGUAAUACGU